CAGUGUUACAGCUUUUUUACAAUUUACCUAGCAGGUUUUCCAGUUUUUAUCAGAAACCUCCU
Molecule: small nuclear RNA, 62 nt
Organism: Nomascus leucogenys (northern white-cheeked gibbon)
Lineage: Eukaryota; Metazoa; Chordata; Mammalia; Primates; Hylobatidae
Gene: U7
Rfam family: U7 small nuclear RNA
About the family: Animal histone pre-mRNAs are spliced by a different mechanism than nuclear pre-mRNAs and self-splicing introns.
Source: Ensembl